RNAcentral lists this ribosomal RNA (398 nucleotides) under fungal sp. RNAcentral's name for it is "eukaryotic LSU rRNA". The stretch from base 25 to 178 matches the Rfam family "5.8S ribosomal RNA". Lineage: Eukaryota; Fungi. The record is from RNAcentral.
CGUCAGAAAAUAAACAAUAAUUACAACUUUCAACAACGGAUCUCUUGGUUCUGGCAUCGAUGAAGAACGCAGCGAAAUGCGAAAAGUAGUGUGAAUUGCAGAAUUCAGUGAAUCAUCGAAUCUUUGAACGCACAUUGCGCCCCUUGGUAUUCCAUGGGGCAUGCCUGUUCGAGCGUCAUUUUGUACCCUCAAGCACUGCUUGGUGUUGGGCGUUUGUCCUGCAAAGGACUCGCCUGAAAGCGAUUGGCGGCCAACGUACUGGUGGUAGAGCGCAGCACAAUUUGCGUCUCUCCCUUCUACGUUAGCGUCCAUGAAGCCUUUUUCAAACGUUUGACCUCGGAUCAGGUAGGGAUACCCGCUGAACUUAAGCAUAUCAAUAAGCGGAGGAAAAGAAACCA